AUGUUUGGACACAAAGAGCCAAAGAUCGACUAUUAUGUCUGCACCAUCAACAAGACGUUUGCCAAACCAGGCCAGGGCAUGUACUUUCAGGUGGAAUACACAGAGGGUGAGCUCCAUAAGUACAAUCAUGAAGAUGAUGACACUCUCUCACUCAAGCUCGUAGACGGCACAAUGACCUAUGACACCCGAUUCAUCCUUGGAACCGGCAAGAGGGCUACCAUCGCGACGAACUGGUCAUGGUUUCGCCACCACGCCAACAUCCACGAGGGUGAAAUAUGUGUCUUCCAUUUCAAGCGCAAAGCAGUGCGCCGCCUUUCGCGCACGGUCCAUCACGUCUACACGCAAUGA
This 348-nucleotide ribosomal RNA is filed under the name Triticum aestivum (bread wheat). Its description in RNAcentral is "partial small subunit ribosomal RNA". Lineage: Eukaryota; Viridiplantae; Streptophyta; Magnoliopsida; Poales; Poaceae. The record is from RNAcentral.